GACGAACGCUGGCGGCGUGCCUAAUACAUGCAAGUAGAACGCUGAAGGAGGAGCUUGCUUCUCUGGAUGAGUUGCGAACGGGUGAGUAACGCGUAGGUAACCUGCCUGGUAGCGGGGGAUAACUAUUGGAAACGAUAGCUAAUACCGCAUAAUAGUAGUUGUUGCAUGACAACUGUUUGAAAGGUGCAAUUGCAUCACUACCAGAUGGACCUGCGUUGUAUUAGCUAGUUGGUGGGGUAACGGCUCACCAAGGCGACGAUACAUAGCCGACCUGAGAGGGUGAUCGGCCACACUGGGACUGAGACACGGCCCAGACUCCUACGGGAGGCAGCAGUAGGGAAUCUUCGGCAAUGGACGGAAGUCUGACCGAGCAACGCCGCGUGAGUGAAGAAGGUUUUCGGAUCGUAAAGCUCUGUUGUAAGAGAAGAACGAGUGUGAGAGUGGAAAGUUCACAC
Molecule: ribosomal RNA, 455 nt
Filed under: Streptococcus mitis
Lineage: Bacteria; Bacillati; Bacillota; Bacilli; Lactobacillales; Streptococcaceae
Description: bacterial SSU rRNA
Rfam family: Bacterial small subunit ribosomal RNA
Source: RNAcentral